GGUUGCCUCUUGCCCUGCUCGCCGUGCACGAACCGCGAAAAGCUCCCCUCGCCGCCGUCCCCGUCUCCGGUUGUCACGCGAUGUGAGCACACGAGCAGCACCCAUCCACAUGGGGCUUCCGCGGCCACCCCCGACGGUCAGCUCGACGGAGAGCCACUCCGCCGCUCAAAGACCGUUCGGAAUCGAAGCAUCCGCCGAUGUGACGCGCACCAGGCUCCAGAUGAAGGAAUGAUAAAUACAUCAUUUUCACGAGGGGAUCUAAAGCUGACUCGCCUUGCGGUGCUGUUUCGGCUUCUCAGAGGCGCUCUACUGAUGGAAAUGCUCUCGCUGAUGACUGGUGAGCUGCUCUCCGAAGAGAAGUCCGAGUUCAGUGGACACACCUUUGCACGUUGGCCAAGCUCUUUCUUCCGCAGGCUGUUGGGCGUCAGUCUACCCCAUGUCAGCUUCAGACGGCGAGAACCACAGCACUGUAAGAACAUUCUUACCUCUGGAGGGUGAGAUGAGAGGUGAUAGCGAAUUGAGAAAUUUUACCAUCCAGGGUUGGUGUAUGCCAACAUGUAUUUAUGGAAAAAGCAUGCAUGCUUUGAUUGGAUGUCCUUUGUAAUUAAAUUGCUUCUUCGGCAUAGACUAUAGGCUGUGACAAAAACCUUGGACAUAUCAAUAUCACGGCGCUAUGGUGAGGGCUUCAAGACGAAUCGGUGCCUUCGUUUGGACUUUGAUAGACAGCGAUUUCUAUUCUUUGAAAUACUGAGACAAACUAGGGGAGUUUACUUUUUCCCUGGGUGUAUUUGCACCAGGGAGUUUAAAAUAUAAAUUCAAAACUAGCACAUGUUACUUCAGUUGUCAUUUUUAUUUCUGUAGCUACCAAGUACCAACUGAGGGAUAAUAGUAGCCUGGACUAUUUUUGGAGUUUAUCAAAUGCGCUAUGGGGAAUAUGAAGAACCAUAUGCUAUUCUUUAAACAUUUAUUAGGAGACAAAUUUACACUUGAAGUUCUGCCAUGAUCUUAUUCUGUUGGAGCUUACAACGUCUGUACAUUUGGGAGAUAUCCAGUGCCAUCUAGGAAGAUUACGACAGACUAAAAAUACAAGCCUGUUCAGUAACAAGGCACCCUUGUUGUUUACACCAUCUUUUGUAAUUUUUUUUCUACCUAGGCAAGCCUUCUUGUUGUUCACACCACAUCUUGUAUUAGCACGUUCCUUUGACAUGAAGUUGCAUAGCAGUAUAGUGAAUUCUGGCAGUCAGAGUUUUGAAAGCUGUCAUGUAGCCUCAUGCUCUUCCUAUGUCGAUAUGAAUUCUAACUAUCAAUAAACUAA
Molecule: non-coding RNA, 1315 nt
Organism: Lolium perenne
Lineage: Eukaryota; Viridiplantae; Streptophyta; Magnoliopsida; Poales; Poaceae
Source: RefSeq, a predicted model, not a curated record